This is a long non-coding RNA of Numida meleagris (helmeted guineafowl), 1685 nucleotides long. RefSeq lists it as uncharacterized. The record is from RefSeq and is a predicted model, not a curated record. The transcript has 3 exons. NCBI's taxonomy places the organism in Eukaryota, Metazoa, Chordata, Aves, Galliformes, Numididae.
CAGCCAAUUCCUUAACUAUCCAGUAGUCUAUCCAUCAAAUCUAUACCUCUCAGUUGCAGAGAAAAUCAUACUGUGUGUCAAAGACAAGACAUAGUUCUAGAUAGAUAUGCCUUCAGAAAAAGAGAAUGGUACAAUCAAAAAAAAAAAUUACCAUUAUCUUGUAAUGUUUUUAGAGUUUCUAUUUUCCUGUGUUUUCUUGAUUACUAUAAUACUGUCUGUCUACAAAGAAACAAGAUAAUUAUACUACUAAGAGUUUUAAACUUAUCCUGGUUUCAGCUGAGACAAUGUUAAUAGCACGCCAAUGUUUUUGUUGUUGCUGUGUGAUGAGUGAUUGCCCAGGUCUAGUACAAACAGAAAUGGCCACAUCUAUUGUGACACAACAGAGGAUGUGAGGGGGGCAGAGUCAGGACAACCGGCCUGAAUUAGCCAAGGAGUUAUUCCAUCCAAAGUGACAUCAUGAAGAAGGCAAUAAUGCUGUAGGGAGUUAGCCAGGGGGCAGCCACUGCUCCAGGAUUACCUGGGCGCUGGUGAUUAGGUGAUGACACAUAGCAGGGUGUUGGUCAGUGAGCAAUUGUGUUGCUUACUGGGCAACACUCAAUGAAUGGUAUGGCAUGCAGCUUUUCUGCAUCCUGCAACACUAAGCUAUGGAAACAUGCUUUGUUCACAGUCAACUGAAAUGGUCCCUGAAGAUUGGUGGAAGACAUGUACCCAUCUACAAUAACAUCUGGAGAUCACGAUAUUUGCCUGGAGGGUACCUAGAAUACCUGAAGACACUGUGAGUGCUUAGGCAAUUGACUCAAGCUCUCAUUCUCCUCUGGACAUUACUUUUCAACAUAUUCAGUGAAGCUUCCUCGCAUGUUUUAUUCAUAUUCUUUUAAUACUCCUCUCUUCUGAGGAGUGAAGUAAACUAAAUUUUUCUUUUGAUGUAUACUUGCCCAUUCAUUUCCCUUAAUUCACCAUCUGAAAGAAUAAAAUCUUAAAUUUACACUUCAUCAAAUACACCAAGCACUGUCUACUGUGAGAGUGGCUGGGAUUUUCAAAGGAGUUACAAAGUGUAAAGUGCUUUAAUCCAAUUGGUGUUUAAUGGGUGUUUAGCAUAAAAAAAAAUCUGUUAAAACAGGAUCUAAACAAUCUUGUUUGAGCCUAUUAUGUUUGAAGCCAAUGAGUUGCUAUUAGUAUUUCAUUGUCUUCAAUUAAAUUUUUGCUAUGAUCAAAAGUGAUGAGUCCCUCUAUCUUUUGCUGUCAAGUAAAUGUUGUCAUCAAUUGUACCAUGGGAGCAAUACCAAAAUAUGAUUUUACCUAUAUUUAUGAUCACUUAAAAAAUUGACUUUUUCAAUCUUUCACCCAUGAGCAAUGUGUUUCUAAACUUCUGUAAAUACAUUGAAUGUAGUAAUGUACUAAGUGGAAAUAUAUGUUUUUAUGAAGAUGGAGGUUAGAAAUAGUCUGCGUUUAUAAUACUAUAUAUUUUGGAGAGGAAAUCUUACAUUGGAUUUGUUUUUCCUUAAGCCUUAUAUCAGCUGAUGUCUUAAAGUGAUACAUGAACAAUUGCUACUUCUGGAUUUCUUUCAGUUUGUUUCAUCUUUGUGCCACAACUUAUGUCAACUGUAACAAAUUUCUGCUUUUUUAAAUGUUCAGAAGAAAAUGUUUUUAAUGAGUACAGAUUGUACCAGUGAAAGCAGAAUAAA